AAUCAAUAAACCUGUCACACAUUUUUAAGACUAUCUCAGAUGCACCCUUGCAGAAUGCACGGGUGUUGCUAUCAGGAAGAGAAACAAGCACUGACAUUCUUUUCUUUGCUGAAUUGAAAGGUUCAACCUUCAGCAAUUUACAAUCCUUUUUUUUAUCAUCAAUAUCACCAAGAAGUAAUCCAUAAUCUAAUAUUGCAGAUUCUGUAGGUGAACCCAGAACAGAUUUCUUUCCAUACUUGUCUUUAACCACCUCAGCUGCUGUAUUAUGAA
This 270-nucleotide unclassified non-coding RNA is filed under the name Hevea brasiliensis (rubber tree). The record is from RNAcentral. Lineage: Eukaryota; Viridiplantae; Streptophyta; Magnoliopsida; Malpighiales; Euphorbiaceae.